This 405-nucleotide ribosomal RNA is filed under the name uncultured bacterium. RNAcentral's name for it is "partial 16S ribosomal RNA". It matches the Rfam family "Bacterial small subunit ribosomal RNA", at positions 30 to 526 of the family's 1533-position model. The record is from RNAcentral.
AUUGAACGCUGGCGGCAGGCCUAACACAUGCAAGUCGAACGAGUGGCGGACGGGUGAGUAAUGCUUGGGAAUCUAGCUUAUGGAGGUGGAUAACUACGGGAAACUGUAGCUAAUACCGCGUACCAUAGGAUGAGCCCAAGUGGGAUUAAGUAGUUGGUGAGGUAAAGGCUCACCUAGCCGACGAUCUCUAGCUGGUCUGAGAGGAUGACCAGCCACAAUGGGACUGAGCCACGGUCCAGACUCCGACGGGAGGCAGCAGUGGGGAAUAUUGCACAAUGGGGGCAACCUGACGCAGCCAUGCCGCGUGAAUGAAGAAGGCCUUCGGGUUGUAAAGUUCUGUCGGUAGCGAGGCGUUAACUACAGAAGAAGCAACGGCUAACUCCGGGCCAGCAGCCGCGGUAAUUC